Molecule: ribosomal RNA, 393 nt
Filed under: uncultured Glomus
Lineage: Eukaryota; Fungi; Glomeromycota; Glomeromycetes; Glomerales; Glomeraceae
Description: SSU rRNA
Rfam family: Eukaryotic small subunit ribosomal RNA
Source: RNAcentral
AGCAGCCGCGGUAAUUCCAGCUCCAAUAGCGUAUAUUAAAGUUGUUGCAGUUAAAAAGCUCGUAGUUGAAUUUCGGGACUAACAGAUUGGUCGCGCCUUUGGUGUGUACUGGUCUAGUUGGUUUCUCCCUUCUGACGAACCACGAUGUCAUUAAUUUAGUGUCGUGGGAAAUCAGGACUGUUACUUUGAAAAAAUUAGAGUGUUUAAAGCAAGCGCUAGCUUGAAUACAUUAGCAUGGAAUAAUGAAAUAGGACGUUUGACCCUAUUUUGUUGGUUUCUAGGAUCGACGUAAUGAUUAAUAGGGAUAGUUGGGGGCAUUAGUAUUCAAUUGUCAGAGGUGAAAUUCUUGGAUUUAUUGAAGACUAACUACUGCGAAAGCAUUUGCCAAGGAUG